This 788-nucleotide ribosomal RNA is filed under the name uncultured Alphaproteobacteria bacterium. RNAcentral describes it as "bacterial SSU rRNA". It matches the Rfam family "Bacterial small subunit ribosomal RNA", at positions 46 to 880 of the family's 1533-position model. The record is from RNAcentral. Lineage: Bacteria; Pseudomonadati; Pseudomonadota; Alphaproteobacteria.
GCUUAACACAUGCAAGUCGAACGAGAUCUUCGGAUCUAGUGGCAGACGGGUGAGUAACGCGUGGGAACCUGCCCAGUAGUAGAGGACAACUUGGGGAAACUUAAGCUAAUACUUUAUACGUCCUUCGGGAGAAAGCUUUAUGCGCUAUUGGAUGGGCCCGCGUUAGAUUAGUUUGUUGGUGAGGUAACGGCUCACCAAGACUACGAUCUAUAGCUGGUCUGAGAGGAUGAUCAGCCACACUGGGACUGAGACACGGCCCAGACUCCUACGGGAGGCAGCAGUGGGGAAUAUUGGACAAUGGGGGCAACCCUGAUCCAGCGAUGCCGCGUGAGUGAUGAAGGCCCUAGGGUUGUAAAACUCUUUCGUCAGGGAAGAUAAUGACGGUACCUGAAGAAGAAGAUCCGGCUAACUCCGUGCCAGCAGCCGCGGUAAUACGGAGGGAUCUAGCGUUAUUCGGAAUUACUGGGCGUAAAGCGAGCGUAGGCGGAUUUGUAAGUUGGAGGUGAAAUCCCAGAGCUUAACUCUGGAACUGCCUUCAAAACUACAUUUCUUGAGUUUGGUAGAGGAGAGUGGAAUUCCUAGUGUAGAGGUGAAAUUCGUAGAUAUUAGGAGGAACACCAGUGGCGAAGGCGACUCUCUGGGCCAAUACUGACGCUGAGGUUCGAAAGCAUGGGUAGCGAACAGGAUUAGAUACCCUGGUAGUCCAUGCAGUAAACGAUGAGUGCUAGAUGUUGGGAAUUUAAGUUUCCAGUAUCGCAGUUAACGCGUUAAGCACUCCGCCUGGGAAG